Molecule: ribosomal RNA, 450 nt
Filed under: uncultured bacterium
Lineage: Bacteria
Description: bacterial SSU rRNA
Rfam family: Bacterial small subunit ribosomal RNA
Source: RNAcentral
UAGGGAAUAUUGCACAAUGGGGGAAACCCUGAUGCAGCGACGCCGCGUGAGUGAUGAAGGCCUUCGGGUCGUAAAGCUCUGUCGUAUGGGACUAACAAAAUGAAGGUACCAUGCAAGAAAGGAUCGGCUAACUUCGUGCCAGCAGCCGCGGUAAGACGAGGGAUCCUAGCGUUGUUCGGAAUCAUUGGGCGUAAAGCGGGUGUAGGCGGACUUAUAAGUCAGGUGUGAAAUCCCAGGGCUCAACCCUGGAAGUGCACUUGAUACUGCAAGUCUUGAGUGUGGUAGAGGCUAUUAGAAUUCCUGGUGUAGCGGUGAAAUGCGUAGAUAUCAAGAGGAACACCUGAGGUGAAGACGGGUUGCUGGGCUGACACUGACGCUGAGGCGCGAAAGCCAGGGGAGCAAACGGGAUUAGAUACCCGGGUAGUCCCUGAGCGGGCUGGCAAGGCGCAU